CGGUUAGGAUCUUAUUUCGAAAAACCAACCAAUUAAAGAUUUUAUUCUUUCUAGUAUUGGAAGUCUCUAGUUGAUCUUUGCAAAAGUUGAUAUAGUAAUAAAACAAACUCAUUGAUACAGUAAUAAAAUAUGUAGACAUACAUACUAAUUUCAAACUGUUUUAUGUAACUAUUUUAUGCAAUUGUGGAUUAUCUGCCUUCACUGUUUUAUGCAACUGUGGGAGAUGGUUACAUACGUUCUUUUUGUGGAUGCUCCUUAUCUAUUGCCUGCAACCAGUUUACCUUUCUGUAUUUAUUUCCUAUGGUUCAUUACAAGAAUUAUAGCAUUUACAAGUCUACUGAAGUUACAGUAAUAUUUUCCA
RNAcentral lists this long non-coding RNA (361 nucleotides) under Elaeis guineensis (African oil palm). RNAcentral describes it as "long non-coding RNA (EGUI_LNC078111)". Lineage: Eukaryota; Viridiplantae; Streptophyta; Magnoliopsida; Arecales; Arecaceae. The record is from RNAcentral.